RNAcentral lists this ribosomal RNA (1035 nucleotides) under Suillus luteus. Its description in RNAcentral is "LSU rRNA". It matches the Rfam family "Bacterial large subunit ribosomal RNA", at positions 1655 to 2530 of the family's 2925-position model. The record is from RNAcentral. Lineage: Eukaryota; Fungi; Basidiomycota; Agaricomycetes; Boletales; Suillaceae.
CGACACAGGUUCGUAGGUAGAGUAUACUAAGGCGUAGAGCUAAAAGUUGUUAAGGAACUCGGCAAAUUAUCCUCUAAAGUUCGACGACAAGAGGAACCAUUUUUAAGAAAUUAAUAACUCCAUUGAAUUUUAUUAAUCUCUUUUGUGGUGGCACAAAAUCGGAAGCCCCGACUGUUUACUAAAAACACAGCUAUCUGCAACGAUGUAAAUCAUAGUAUAGGUAGUGAGGUUUGCCCGAUGCCAUUAAUAUAAGAGAAGUGAUGGGUAACUGUUAAUUAUCGAAAAUCUGGUUAAUAGCGGUCUUAACUAUGAGGAUCCUAAGGUAGCAAAAUAAAUUGGCCAUUAAAUGUGGUCCGGUAUCAAUAAUUUAACGAUGGCUUCACUGUCUCUACAACUUGCUCAGUGAAAUUGAAUUACCCGUGCAGAUGCGGGUUGCCACCAGGGGGACGGGAAGACCCUAUGCAGCUUCUACUGUAGUUAAUCAUCAUAUUAAUCUAGAACAACUUUAGUCAAUAGCAAAUAGGUAUGUCGAUAGACAAAAAUUGGAAGACCUUAAGUCUAGGGUUGGGUUAAUGUUUACCUUUUUAUAAGCAAAAUUAUAGAAUGGGAGAGCUGAUUGAUUGGCAGUUUGACUGGGGCGGUCGUCUUUAAUAGAGUAGCAAAGUACAUCCAAAUAUAAAAUUAAUAAAAAAUAUUUACUAUUAAAUAAUAUUAAUGUGUAAAUAUUCUCACAAAUAUCAUAUUGCUGUAAAUUUUUUAUUUACUUUAACAUCAAUUAUUAUUUUUUGUUUUUAUAAGGUAUAGCUAGAAAUUGAAUGGAGAUCAAUUAACCAGUGAUAAGGUUAUGGAGGGCGCAAUGGCGGUAAGCAUGCUUAACUGAUAGACUUAAAAGUCGCACAGAUACGUAAGUAGGGCAUAGUGACCCCUCGCUAUAUAAUGGAAUAGACGGGGAUCAAUUGAUAAAAGUUACGCUAGGGAUAACAGGCUGAUAGCCGGCGAGAGUACACAUUGUCCCGGCUGUUUGGCACCUUCGAU